This 102-nucleotide non-coding RNA is filed under the name human gut metagenome. RNAcentral describes it as "SAM riboswitch (S box leader)". It matches the Rfam family "SAM riboswitch aptamer (S box leader)". Rfam says of the family: The SAM riboswitch is found upstream of a number of genes which code for proteins involved in methionine or cysteine biosynthesis in Gram-positive bacteria. The SAM riboswitch acts at the level of transcription termination control. The record is from RNAcentral.
CUUAUCAAGAGCGGCGGAGGGAACUGCCCUGUGAAGCCCGACAACCUGCAUUUUGCAAGGUGUCAAGUCAGCGAAAACCGUUUUAUGUUUUCGGCAGAUGAG